CUUUUGCUAUUUUUGCCUUCCCCAGGAGAUGACUUAACUUCUGGGAUUUUUCCCUCAGCUCUCACUUGUGACUUUGACCCAGCUGGGAGAGACCCUUAGGGAAGCACUUUCUGAUGGGCAAUUGAAGUUUAGUUGAGACAAACCAGGGAAGUUAGCCAAGGCUGCUGCUGUCUCUUCUGGUUCCCAGCACCAUGGGCUCAGAUUUCACAACAAGAUGUUGAUACUGUGAAGAAGCUAAGUGUGGAGCAAUGACAAGGAGCUCUAUAUCCCAAGCUGUGGAAUACCUUGCCCCCAUUCCCUUACCCUGGAGAAGAAGAAGGUUCCUGUAUGUGUGAAAGUAUCCACUAGAGGAAGAACAAGACAAAAAGUCUUUAUCUCCCUUUUGCAACCUGAAGUGGAGUUGGCAUCAUUCAUUUUCUCUCUUGAAGCUAGAAGCCAAAAACAUCUGAAGAAACUGGAGUCAAAAAAGAUUGAAUCCUUUUUUUACCCUCUCUUCUCCAUCUCCUCAUGCAUCAUUUGUGGUCAUUGA
Molecule: long non-coding RNA, 529 nt
Filed under: Monodelphis domestica (gray short-tailed opossum)
Lineage: Eukaryota; Metazoa; Chordata; Mammalia; Didelphimorphia; Didelphidae
Description: lncRNA (ENSMODG00000049172.1)
Source: RNAcentral